RNAcentral lists this ribosomal RNA (253 nucleotides) under uncultured bacterium. Its description in RNAcentral is "partial 16S ribosomal RNA". It matches the Rfam family "Bacterial small subunit ribosomal RNA", at positions 524 to 777 of the family's 1533-position model. The record is from RNAcentral.
UACGUAGGGUGCAAGCGUUGUCCGGAAUUAUUGGGCGUAAAGCGCACGUAGGCGGAUUGUUAAGUCAGGGGUGAAAUCCUGGAGCUCAACUCCAGAACUGCCUUUGAUACUGGCAAUCUCGAGUCCGGAAGAGGUGAGUGGAACUCCUAGUGUAGAGGUGGAAUUCGUAGAUAUUAGGAAGAACACCAGUGGCGAAGGCGGCUCACUGGCCGGUACUGACGCUGAGGUGCGAAAGCGUGGGGAGCAAACAGGA